This 506-nucleotide ribosomal RNA is filed under the name uncultured bacterium. Its description in RNAcentral is "partial 16S ribosomal RNA". It matches the Rfam family "Bacterial small subunit ribosomal RNA", at positions 899 to 1397 of the family's 1533-position model. The record is from RNAcentral.
ACUCAAAUGAAUUGACGGGGGCUCACACAAGCGGUGGAGCAUGUGGCUUAAUUCGAGGCUACGCGAAAAACCUUAUCCCGGGCUUGACAUGCACGGAUUAGCCGGCGGAAACGUCGGCGAGGCCGCAAGGUACAACGUGCACAGGUGCUGCAUGGCUGUCGUCAGCUCGUGCCGUGAGGUGUUGGGUUAAGUCCCGUAACGAGCGAAACCCCUGUCCCUAGUUGCUAGCGGGUCAUGCCGAGCACUCUAGGGAGACCGCCGGCGUCAAGCCGGAGGAAGGCGGGGACGACGUCAAGUCCUCAUGGCCCUUAUGCCCGGGGCCGCACACGUGCUACAAUGGGGCGCAACAGAGCGACGCGAGGCCGCAAGGCGGAGCCAAUCGCAAAAACCGCCCCCCAGUUCGGAUUGCGGGCUGCAACCCGCCCGCAUGAAGCCGGAAUCGCUAGUAAUCGCGGAUCAGCAUUGCCGCGGUGAAUGGGUUCCUGAGCCUUGUACACACCGCCCGU